GCAUGGUUGUCGUCAGCUCGUGUCGUGAGAUGUUGGGUUAAGUCCCGCAACGAGCGCAACCCUUAUUGUUAGUUGCCAUCAUUCAGUUGGGCACUCUAGCAAGACUGCCGGUGACAAACCGGAGGAAGGUGGGGAUGACGUCAAAUCAUCAUGCCCCUUAUGACCUGGGCUACACACGUGCUACAAUGGGAAGUACAACGAGUUGCGAAGUCGCGAGGCUAAGCUAAUCUCUUAAAGCUUCUCUCAGUUCGGAUUGCAGGCUGCAACUCGCCUGCAUGAAGCCGGAAUCGCUAGUAAUCGCGGAUCAGCACGCCGCGGUGAAUACGUUCCCGGGCCUUGUACACACCGCCCGUCACACCACGAGAGUUUGUAACACCCGAAGUCGGUGAGGUAACCUUUUUGGAGCCAGCCGCCUAAGGUGGGAUAGAUGAUUGGGGUGAAGUCGUAACAAGGUAGCCGUAUCGGAAGGUGCGGCUGGAUCACCUCCUUU
This 490-nucleotide ribosomal RNA is filed under the name Enterococcus faecium. Its description in RNAcentral is "bacterial SSU rRNA". It matches the Rfam family "Bacterial small subunit ribosomal RNA", at positions 1043 to 1533 of the family's 1533-position model. Lineage: Bacteria; Bacillati; Bacillota; Bacilli; Lactobacillales; Enterococcaceae. The record is from RNAcentral.